RNAcentral lists this ribosomal RNA (443 nucleotides) under uncultured bacterium. RNAcentral's name for it is "partial 16S ribosomal RNA". It matches the Rfam family "Bacterial small subunit ribosomal RNA", at positions 338 to 795 of the family's 1533-position model. The record is from RNAcentral.
CCUACGGGCGGCAGCAGUGGGGAAUAUUGGGCAAUGGGCGCAAGCCUGACCCAGCAACGCCGCGUGAAGGAAGAAGGCUUUCGGGUUGUAAACUUCUUUUAUGAGGGACGAAAGAAAUGACGGUACCUCAUGAAUAAGCCACGGCUAACUACGUGCCAGCAGCCGCGGUAAGACGUAGGUGGCAAGCGUGAUCCGGAUUGACUGGGUGUAAAGGGCGGGUAGGCGGGACUGCCAGGCAGAUGGGAAAAUUAUGGGCUCAACCCAUAACCUGCAUUUGAAACUGUAGUUCUUGAGUGAUGGGGCGCCAGGCGGAAUUCCGUGUGUAGCGGUGAAAUGCGUAGAUAUACGGCGGAACACCAGUGGCGACGGCGGCCUGCUGGACAUUACCUGACGCUGAGGCGCGAAAGCGUGGGGAGCAAACAGGAUUAGAUACCCGAGUAGUC